CUGCCCCUGUCAGGGGGACAACCCGCCGAAAGGCGGGCUAAACCCGCGUACAUGCCACCGGGGCAUCCCGGAGGCAGGAAAGGCUUCGGCCGGACAGGGAUGGGCAUGCGGCGCAUUAGGCAGUAGGCGGGGUAACGGCCCACCUAACCGACGAUGCGUAGGGGUUCUGAGAGGAAGGUCCCCCACACUGGUACUGAGACACGGACCAGACUCCUACGGGAGGCAGCAGUGAGGAAUAUUGGUCAAUGGUCGGGAGACUGAACCAGCCAGGCCGCGUGAGGGAUGAAGGUACAGAGUAUCGUAAACCUCUUUUGUCAGGGAACAAAGGCGGGGACGCGUCCCCGGAUGAGUGUACCUGAAGAAAAAGCAUCGGCUAACUCCGUGCCAGCAGCCGCGGUAAUACGGAGGAUGCGAGCGUUAUCCGGAUUUAUUGGGUUUAAAGGGUGCGCAGGCGGUCUGUUAAGUCAGCGGUCAAAGCCCGGGGCUCAACCCCGGCCCGCCGUUGAAACUGGCAGUCUCGAGUUGGAGAGAAGUAUGCGGAAUGCGCGGUGUAGCGGUGAAAUGCAUAGAUAUCGCGCAGAACUCCGAUUGCGAAGGCAGCAUGCCGGCUCCACACUGACGCUGAGGCACGAAAGCGUGGGUAUCGAACAGGAUUAGAUACCCUGGUAGUCCACGCAGUAAAC
Molecule: ribosomal RNA, 683 nt
Filed under: uncultured bacterium
Lineage: Bacteria
Description: bacterial SSU rRNA
Rfam family: Bacterial small subunit ribosomal RNA
Source: RNAcentral